Molecule: ribosomal RNA, 253 nt
Filed under: uncultured bacterium
Lineage: Bacteria
Description: partial 16S ribosomal RNA
Rfam family: Bacterial small subunit ribosomal RNA
Source: RNAcentral
UACGGAGGGUGCUAGCGUUGUUCGGAAUUACUGGGCGUAAAGGGCGCGUAGGCGGCCGUUUGCGUCGGAUGUGAAAGCCCGGGGCUCAACCUCGGAACGGCAUUCGAUACGGGACGGCUGGAGACCGGGAGAGGAGAGUGGAAUAGCCAGUGUAGAGGUGAAAUUCGUAGAUAUCAAGUGGAACACCGGUGGCGAAGGCGGCCUUCUGGACAGUGACUGACGCUGAGACGCGAAAGCGUGGGGAGCAAACAGG